GAGAGCCUACGGGAGGCAGCAGUGGGGAAUAUUGCACAAUGGGGGGAACCCUGAUGCAGCGACGCCGCGUGAGUGAAGAAGUAUUUCGGUAUGUAAAGCUCUGUCAGCAGGGAAGAAGAAAGACGGUACCUGACCAAGAAGCCCCGGCUAACUACGUGCCAGCAGCCGCGGUAAUACGUAUGGUGCAAGCGUUAUCCGGAUUUACUGGGUGUAAAGGGAGCGCAGGCGGCACGGCAAGCCUGAUGUGAAAGCCCGCGGCCCAACCGCGGGACUGCAUUGGGAACUACCGGGCUGGAGUGCCGGAG
RNAcentral lists this ribosomal RNA (305 nucleotides) under uncultured bacterium. RNAcentral's name for it is "bacterial SSU rRNA". It matches the Rfam family "Bacterial small subunit ribosomal RNA", at positions 333 to 654 of the family's 1533-position model. The record is from RNAcentral.